AGUCGAACGAUGAUCAGGAGCUUGCUCCUGUGAUUAGUGGCGAACGGGUGAGUAACACGUGAGUAACCUGCCCCUGACUCUGGGAUAAGCGUUGGAAACGACGUCUAAUACUGGAUAUGGCUUCCGGCCGCAUGGUCUGGUUGUGGAAAGAUUUUUUGGUUGGGGAUGGACUCGCGGCCUAUCAGCUUGUUGGUGAGGUAAUGGCUCACCAAGGCGACGACGGGUAGCCGGCCUGAGAGGGUGACCGGCCACACUGGGACUGAGACACGGCCCAGACUCCUACGGGAGGCAGCAGUGGGGAAUAUUGCACAAUGGGCGAAAGCCUGAUGCAGCAACGCCGCGUGAGGGAUGACGGCCUUCGGGUUGUAAACCUCUUUUAGUAGGGAAGAAGCGAAAGUGACGGUACCUGCAGAAAAAGCACCGGCUAACUACGUGCCAGCAGCCGCGGUAAUACGUAGGGUGCAAGCGUUGUCCGGAAUUAUUGGGCGUAAAGAGCUCGUAGGCGGUUUGUCGCGUCUGCUGUGAAAUCCCGAGGCUCAACCUCGGGCUUGCAGUGGGUACGGGCAGACUAGAGUGCGGUAGGGGAGAUUGGAAUUCCUGGUGUAGCGGUGGAAUGCGCAGAUAUCAGGAGGAACACCGAUGGCGAAGGCAGAUCUCUGGGCCGUAACUGACGCUGAGGAGCGAAAGCAUGGGGAGCGAACAGGAUUAGAUACCCUGGUAGUCCAUGCCGUAAACGUUGGGCGCUAGAUGUAGGGACCUUUCCACGGUUUCUGUGUCGUAGCUAACGCAUUAAGCGCCCCGCCUGGGGAGUACGGCCGCAAGGCUAAAACUCAAAGGAAUUGAC
Molecule: ribosomal RNA, 844 nt
Filed under: uncultured bacterium
Lineage: Bacteria
Description: bacterial SSU rRNA
Rfam family: Bacterial small subunit ribosomal RNA
Source: RNAcentral